Long non-coding RNA from Rhinolophus ferrumequinum (greater horseshoe bat), 668 nucleotides. RefSeq lists it as uncharacterized. NCBI's taxonomy places the organism in Eukaryota, Metazoa, Chordata, Mammalia, Chiroptera, Rhinolophidae. The transcript is spliced from 3 exons. The record is from RefSeq and is a predicted model, not a curated record.
CUUCAGCCUUGGGACAACCCUCAAUCAAUGGGCACUGCCCUGCGUCAGCGUUGUAGCCUACCCUCCUUCAGGUCAUUUCGGAGUCAGAUUUGUCUUUAUUUUGGAUACAGUCCUUGCUGAGACUGACCCCAAGGGGGCCCAGCUUUACUCAGGUUGCACAUGAAUGGAGGAGCUGACCUUCACCUUUCGGACCUGACCUUGUAUUUACUCCAGUACAAGGUCCUACUGUGGAAGCUUUAAGGAAGUAAAGCAAAAGGCGCGUUGGACAGCAGUGCAAGGAGAGAGCCCAGCCCCCUUGACUUGUACGUGAUGAAAGUUGUCAUAAGUGCUGAUCAAAGUGAAGUCUGAUGACCUCUUGCCUGGCUAAUUUUAAAAUGGUAAACUUUUGGAUCCUACUGAUUCAGAAUCCCUGGGAAUUUCUUUCUUUUUCUAUUCUCUUUCUCUCUUUUUUGAACAAGUAUCCUAGGUGAUUGUUAGGCACGUGAAUAUUUGGUUACCAUCCAGCCAAGGAUUGAGAAUGUCCUACUAGGAUCAACGUUGACCUUGCAGCUGGACAAAAGCAAGCCUGAGCCUUGAGAUUUGACAAAAUGAUCCCAAUUCUUAGGACUUCAGGACAUCAAUUGACCAGAGAGAUAAUUACAAACUGGCCUUGUGGGACAUUUAUUGAA